AUUGAACGCUGGCGGCAGGCUUAACACAUGCAAGUCGAGCGGUAGCACAGGGGAGCUUGCUCCCUGGGUGACGAGCGGCGGACGGGUGAGUAAUGUCUGGGAAACUGCCUGAUGGAGGGGGAUAACUACUGGAAACGGUAGCUAAUACCGCAUAACGUCGCAAGACCAAAGAGGGGGACCUUCGGGCCUCUUGCCAUCAGAUGUGCCCAGAUGGGAUUAGCUAGUAGGUGGGGUAAUGGCUCACCUAGGCGACGAUCCCUAGCUGGUCUGAGAGGAUGACCAGCCACACUGGAACUGAGACACGGUCCAGACUCCUACGGGAGGCAGCAGUGGGGAAUAUUGCACAAUGGGCGCAAGCCUGAUGCAGCCAUGCCGCGUGUAUGAAGAAGGCCUUCGGGUUGUAAAGCACUUUCAGCGAGGAGGAAGGUGGUGAGCUUAAUACGUUCAUCAAUUGACGUUACUCGCAGAAGAAGCACCGGCUAACUCCGUG
This 490-nucleotide ribosomal RNA is filed under the name uncultured bacterium. RNAcentral's name for it is "partial 16S ribosomal RNA". It matches the Rfam family "Bacterial small subunit ribosomal RNA", at positions 30 to 507 of the family's 1533-position model. The record is from RNAcentral.